GGUUCCACCUUUUGUGACCUUUCCAAGUUUCUCAAGCCUCCUCUGGCUCCUUCAAGUUUCACCGCCCCCAAAGAGGGACCUAGAGUUGGGAGGAGGAGAGGCCGUAGGAGCGCAUGCGAUAGGCUAGGAAAAUGGCCCCCUGCUUUCGGUUCUAGAGUCCCUAGUCUCCCGGCAACGAAGCAGCGGAAACUCCGCAGACGCCAGGAUUUUUAUAGCACGGAGGGAGAAUUGAGAUCACAGGAGGGUUCACCUAAAGGCCUUGCUUAAAUAGGGAUGGCAUCCACUCCUACCAGGAAUGAGGAGAAAAUGGGCAGCUGGCUGCCCCAACCUGCAGCCUCCUUGGGUGAAGCAGCAACCUCCUUGGGUGGAGAUCUGCUCUGACAGAAACCAUACCCAUACCAAGGCACACCUCCUGCCAUCCCCUCGUGACAAGGGAACUCUGCCUAGCAGUUUGACAUCUGGAGGAUGAUCCCAACCCUCUGUGGUGCUGCUUUUGGGCUCUCAUGCCUUGCCCCAUUCUGUCCCUCUAGAACAUGCCUCAAAGCUCCUCUUUCAGAACUCAUUAAAUACUUGGGUUUGGGGGUGAUUCAUAGUCAUGAGCAGCAUCAACCCUUAAGCUUCCAGAAUGUUCUGGAACCAGCACACACCUCUCCAUCCUCAGCUGGCAACACCACUACCAGAAAUCAAAGGCUUUAAUAAAAACACAGAGAUCCUGCCUUCCUCCCAACCCAGGCGUGCUCUGGUGUGGCUUCUCUGGGGUAGAGAUGUGAGAGUGGCCCUUUUUUUUUGGCCAGAUGUGUGGGCAUAUUAUUGGAAUGAUUUUAAUUCAGUUAUUAACCUGUUGGCACAGAUGAGCUCAUAGGUCCAAACCAGCCUCCUAGGCAAACUCCAGCACCUUAAGGUACAGUUCUGUGGCAUCUGAGACGGUCCACCCUUGCUUCUGAAGAGCUACCUUUGCCACCACUGUCAGUGGUGAGAUCUCCCCUCUGACCUUUGGGGCCUCAUGCCUACAGGAAUAUGUCACACCCAUUACUAGCCAGAAGACAGUGAGGUAGGCUUUGUGAAUUUGCAUUUAAAUCCCAAUCUGGCACUUAGUGGAGCCUCCUGAGAAAACCAGUUCACAUCUGAGCCUCAGUUUCCUUAACUGAAAAAUGGGAAUAAACUGUCUGUUUCACA
Long non-coding RNA from Manis javanica (Malayan pangolin), 1176 nucleotides. RefSeq lists it as uncharacterized. NCBI's taxonomy places the organism in Eukaryota, Metazoa, Chordata, Mammalia, Pholidota, Manidae. The record is from RefSeq and is a predicted model, not a curated record.